This 429-nucleotide ribosomal RNA is filed under the name Gemmatimonadota bacterium. RNAcentral describes it as "Gemmatimonadetes bacterium partial 16S ribosomal RNA". It matches the Rfam family "Bacterial small subunit ribosomal RNA", at positions 355 to 776 of the family's 1533-position model. The record is from RNAcentral. Lineage: Bacteria; Pseudomonadati; Gemmatimonadota.
UAGGGAAUCUUCGGCAAUGGACGAAAGUCUGACCGAGCAACGCCGCGUGAGUGAAGAAGGUUUUCGGAUCGUAAAACUCUGUUGUUAGAGAAGAACAAGGACGUUAGUAACUGAACGUCCCCUGACGGUAUCUAACCAGAAAGCCACGGCUAACUACGUGCCAGCAGCCGCGGUAAUACGUAGGUGGCAAGCGUUGUCCGGAUUUAUUGGGCGUAAAGCGAGCGCAGGCGGUUUCUUAAGUCUGAUGUGAAAGCCCCCGGCUCAACCGGGGAGGGUCAUUGGAAACUGGGAGACUGGAGUGCAGAAGAGGAGAGUGGAAUUCCAUGUGUAGCGGUGAAAUGCGUGGAUAUAUGGAGGAACACCAGUGGCGAAGGCGGCUCUCUGGUCUGUAACUGACGCUGAGGCUCGAAAGCGUGGGGAGCAAACAGG